This 440-nucleotide ribosomal RNA is filed under the name uncultured bacterium. Its description in RNAcentral is "partial 16S ribosomal RNA". It matches the Rfam family "Bacterial small subunit ribosomal RNA", at positions 338 to 795 of the family's 1533-position model. The record is from RNAcentral.
CCUACGGGUGGCUGCAGUGGGGAAUAUUGGGCAAUGGGCGCAAGCCUGACCCAGCAACGCCGCGUGAAGGAAGAAGGCUUUCGGUAUGUAAAGCUCUAUCAGCAGGGAAGAAAAUGACGGUACCUGACUACGACUCCCCGGCUAACUACGUGCCAGCAGCCGCGGUCCUACGUAGGGGGCAAGCGUUAUCCGGAUUUACUGGGUGUAAAGGGAGCGUAGACGGUUAUGCAAUUCUGAAGUGAAAGCCCAAGGCUCAACCAUGGGACUGCUUUGGAAACUGUAAAACUGGAGUGCAGGAGAGGUAAGCGGAAUUCCUGGUGUAGCGGUGAAAUGCGUAGAUAUUAGGAGGAACACCAGUGGCGAAGGCAGCUUACUGGACUGUAACUGACGUUGAGGCGCGAAGGCGUGGGGAGCAAACAGGAUUAGAUACCCUAGUAGUC